Molecule: long non-coding RNA, 1312 nt
Organism: Anas platyrhynchos (mallard)
Lineage: Eukaryota; Metazoa; Chordata; Aves; Anseriformes; Anatidae
Source: RefSeq, a predicted model, not a curated record
AUAAUCUGGUGAGCAGCUCCACCUGCCUGAGGUUAGAAAAGGGCCUUAGGCAGAGGGAAACUAGCCUGGGGACACUCCUGGUCCCAGGGGAGCAUAGCCAGGCCUGCUCUGGGGUUAAAGCAGAGCUGUCCUUAGCCAGCAAGACCGAGUAACCACAGAGCAAACAAAAAUUGCUGUUUUGGAAACACCAACAAGCAUUUUCUGACAUUACAGGCUUUAGCUGCUGCAGGAACUUUAUCUGGAACCAGCAGCUAAAACCAGGAGAAGAUGGGUGAGGAGCAGCGUAUCAAGAUACCCCAAGUUUGGUGCCUAAAAGCCAUGAGUGAAGCUUUUGGGUGGGUGGAGAGAGCUUUUUGUGAAGAGGUUGUCUUCAAAAAGUUAGUGAAGAAGGGACAGAGCCAUGCAAAAUACCAGAAGCCAUCAGCACUGCAUGAAUCCUUCUCUGAAAAAUAACAAAAAACCAUCCAAACUCAUCUGGAGAGGGCAAGCCUGGGAGGUACAGAUCUCCCAUGAAGCGACCCAUUGGUGUCUGACCCAGUGCUUGCAUUGGGGUCUGGAGCCUGAGGGCAGAUUUUGCAGCUUGUUUGCUGAAGCCAGUCAUCUUGUUUUUCCCCUGGCCAGAUGGAGGUUUUUGUCACUUCUCCGGUACUGGGAGUUUUCAGGAAGUCUUUGCUGCCUUGUCUCAGCUUGCCGGGAGCUGCCUGAUAGUGCUGGCAGAGCAGUGGCCCUAGUGGGCAAAGCUGCUCCCCCAGUUUGCUGCCUGUGUUGGAAGAGGGUUGAAGGCAGCAUAUCUGCACCUCCCUUGCUCCCUGCAAAGUGCCGGAGGGCUGAUUUUGCAGCUCAGCUUCCUUGCAUGCUCCAUGCCUCAGUUUCCCUGCUUAUAACCUUGCCUUGGGCCAAGAUUUGAGACAAUGCAAUAAUGUCAUGCUUGGCCAAACAACUCUCUGUAUGGCAGGAACAUCACCUCAGAUGGGUGUUGCCUUAUGCUUGUGUCCUGAACCUUGUUGCAGGAGGGAGCCUUCUCUCCACCAUGGCUCCAGUGAGGUCAGUUACAGCCAGGGCAUCAGAGCCACCUCCUCACCUUCUUCCUUGCCUUCCUUGUACAUGGUCCUGACCAUGUACAAGGAGAAGAAAGACUAGCAAAGCUCCCAGUUUCAGACUUUCCCCUUUGCUCCUCCAUCUCUCCUUCCCUAGUUUGCAGGGGCACCAACUGAAUUACUACCCUCUCUUCUCCGUUACAGAUUUUUAUAUGCCAUCCAUCUCCUUUUGUCCCUGAUUUUCUGAAAAAAAAAUAAAAAUAAAAAUAAAAAAA